GGAGGCAACUUCUGAUCCAGCCAUGCCGCGUGCAGGAAGACGGCCCUAUGGGUUGUAAACUGCUUUUAUACAGGAAGAAUGUUACCUAUGCGUAGGUAUUUGACGGUACUGUAAGAAUAAGGAUCGGCUAACUCCGUGCCAGCAGCCGCGGUAAUACGGAGGAUCCAAGCGUUAUCCGGAAUCAUUGGGUUUAAAGGGUCCGCAGGCGGUUCAUUAAGUCAGAGGUGAAAUCCCACCGCUCAACGGUAGCAUUGCCUUUGAUACUGAUGGACUUGAGUUAUAGUGAAGUAGUUAGAAUGUGUAGUGUAGCGGUGAAAUGCAUAGAUAUUACACAGAAUACCGAUUGCGAAAGCAGAUUACUAACUGUAUGCUGACGCUGAGGGACGAAAGCGUGGGUAGCGAACAGGAUUAGAUACCCUGGUAGUCCACGCCGUAAACGAUGGAUACUAGCUGUUCGGCCAACAAUGGUUGGUUGAGUGGCUAAGCGAAAGUGAUAAGUAUCCCACCUGGGGAGUACGCUCGCAAGAGUGAAACUCAAAGGAAUUGACGGGGGCCCGCACAAGCGGUGGAGCAUGUGGUUUAAUUCGAUGAUACGCGAGGAACCUUACCAGGGCUUAAAUGUAGGUUGCAUAAACCAGAGAUGGUUUUUUCUUCGGACCACCUACAAGGUGCUGCAUGGUUGUCGUCAGCUCGUGCCGUGAGGUGUCAGGUUAAGUCCUAUAACGAGCGCAACCCCUGUUGAUAGUUGCCAGCAAGUAAAGUUGGGUACUCUAACGAGACUGCCGGUGCAAACCGCGAGGAAGGUGGGGAUGACGUCAAAUCAUCACGGCCCUUACGUCCUGGGCUACACACGUGCUACAAUGGCCGGUACAGCGAGCAGCCACUACGCGAGUAGGAGCGAAUCUAUAAAACCGGUCUCAGUUCGGAUCGCAGUCUGCAACUCGACUGCGUGAAGCUGGAAUCGCUAGUAAUCGGAUAUCAGCCAUGAUCCGGUGAAUACGUUCCCGGGCCUUGUACACACCGCCCGUCAAGCCAUGGAAGCUGGGGGUACCUGAAGUCGGUGACCGCAAGGAGCUGCCUAGGGUAAAACUAGUAACUGGGGCUAAGUCGUAACAAGGUAGCCGUACCGGAAGGUGCGGCUGGAACACCUCCUUUCU
RNAcentral lists this ribosomal RNA (1157 nucleotides) under uncultured Flavobacteriaceae bacterium. Its description in RNAcentral is "bacterial SSU rRNA". It matches the Rfam family "Bacterial small subunit ribosomal RNA", at positions 373 to 1533 of the family's 1533-position model. Lineage: Bacteria; Pseudomonadati; Bacteroidota; Flavobacteriia; Flavobacteriales; Flavobacteriaceae. The record is from RNAcentral.